This 660-nucleotide ribosomal RNA is filed under the name uncultured bacterium. Its description in RNAcentral is "bacterial SSU rRNA". It matches the Rfam family "Bacterial small subunit ribosomal RNA", at positions 94 to 788 of the family's 1533-position model. The record is from RNAcentral.
AGUGGCGGACGGGUGAGUAACGCGUGAGAAUCUGCCUUGGGGUCGGGGACAACCACUGGAAACGGUGGCUAAUACCGGAUAAGCCGAUUGGUGAAAGAUUUAUUGCCCGAAGAGGAGCUCGCGUCUGAUUAGCUAGUUGGUGAGGUAAGAGCUCACCAAGGCAGCGAUCAGUAGCUGGUCUGAGAGGACGAUCAGCCAUACUGGGACUGAGACACGGCCCAGACUCCUACGGGAGGCAGCAGUGGGGAAUUUUCCGCAAUGGGCGAAAGCCUGACGGAGCAAGACCGCGUGAGGGAGGAAGGCUCUUGGGUUGUAAACCUCUUUUCUCAGGGAAGAAGCUCUGACGGUACCUGAGGAAUCAGCCUCGGCUAACUCCGUGCCAGCAGCCGCGGUAAUACGGAGGAGGCAAGCGUUAUCCGGAAUUAUUGGGCGUAAAGCGUCCGCAGGUGGCGAUUCAAGUCUGCUGUCAAAGCACGGGGCUUAACUCCGUAAAGGCAGUGGAAACUGAAUAGCUAGAGUGCCGUAGGGGUAGAGGGAAUUCCCGGUGUAGCGGUGAAAUGCGUAGAGAUCGGGAAGAACAUCGGUGGCGAAAGCGCUCUACUGGACGGCAACUGACACUCAGGGACGAAAGCUAGGGGAGCGAAUGGGAUUAGAUACCCC